Molecule: small nuclear RNA, 90 nt
Filed under: Perkinsus marinus ATCC 50983
Lineage: Eukaryota; Perkinsozoa; Perkinsida; Perkinsidae
Description: U2 spliceosomal RNA
Rfam family: U2 spliceosomal RNA
About the family: U2 is a small nuclear RNA (snRNA) component of the spliceosome (involved in pre-mRNA splicing). Complementary binding between U2 snRNA (in an area lying towards the 5' end but 3' to hairpin I) and the branchpoint sequence (BPS) of the intron results the bulging out of an unpaired adenosine, on the BPS, which initiates a nucleophilic attack at the intronic 5' splice site, thus starting the first of two transesterification reactions that mediate splicing.
Source: Rfam by way of RNAcentral
AUACCUUCUCGGCUUUUGGCUAUGAUCAAGUGUAGUAUCUGUUCUUAUAAGUGUGACACUUAUAUGUAGCUACUGCUAACUUGAACUGUC